This 119-nucleotide ribosomal RNA is filed under the name Belgica antarctica. The record is from RNAcentral. Lineage: Eukaryota; Metazoa; Arthropoda; Insecta; Diptera; Chironomidae.
UUUCUUGUCAAUACCACGUUGAAAACACUGGUUCUAGUCCGAUAACCGAAGCUAAGCAACGUCGGGCAUAGUAAGUACCUAGAUGGGUAACCGCUUGGGAACGCUAUCUGCCGUUUACA